CGUGUCGUGAGAUGUUGUCUUAAGUGACGCAACGAGCGCAACCCUUACUACUAGUUGCCCUAAUUAAGUUUGGAACUCUAGUGGGACUGCCGGUGCUAAGCCGGAGGAAGGUGGGGAUGACGUCAAGUCCUCAUGGCCCUUAUGAGCAGGGCUUCACACGUCAUACAAUGGUAGGUACAAACGGUUGCCAACCCGCGAGGGGGAGCUAAUCUGAGAAAGCCUAUCGUAGUCCGGAUUGCACUCUGCAACUCGAGUGCAUGAAGUCGGAAUCGCUAGUAAUCGCAGAUCAGCAUGCUGCGGUGAAUACGUUCCCGGGUCUU
Molecule: ribosomal RNA, 320 nt
Filed under: uncultured bacterium
Lineage: Bacteria
Description: bacterial SSU rRNA
Rfam family: Bacterial small subunit ribosomal RNA
Source: RNAcentral